Molecule: transfer RNA, 87 nt
Filed under: Gemmiger formicilis
Lineage: Bacteria; Bacillati; Bacillota; Clostridia; Eubacteriales; Oscillospiraceae
Also listed under: 1 other name
Description: tRNA-Leu
Rfam family: tRNA
About the family: Transfer RNA (tRNA) molecules are approximately 80 nucleotides in length. Their secondary structure includes four short double-helical elements and three loops (D, anti-codon, and T loops). Further hydrogen bonds mediate the characteristic L-shaped molecular structure. tRNAs have two regions of fundamental functional importance: the anti-codon, which is responsible for specific mRNA codon recognition, and the 3' end, to which the tRNAs corresponding amino acid is attached (by aminoacyl-tRNA synthetases). tRNAs cope with the degeneracy of the genetic code in two manners: having more than one tRNA (with a specific anti-codon) for a particular amino acid; and 'wobble' base-pairing, i.e. permitting non-standard base-pairing at the 3rd anti-codon position.
Source: RNAcentral
GCCGCUGUGGCGAAAUUGGCAGACGCAAGGGACUUAAAAUCCCUCGAUGGAAACAUCAUACCGGUUCGAUCCCGGUCAGCGGCACCA